GUAACAGGCAAGUAAGUUUUCCCACACAUGCCCAGCCACAGGCAAUAACAAAACAAUAGGCAUGGAAUCAUUCCCUUAGCGAUUAAAACCUAAAACCGUGUUUCUUGAUCAGAAAUUCAGAACCACAAACCCAGGUUCCUGAAUUGAAGCCUCCCACUCCAACAAUCGCUAGGUUUUCUCUUCCGACACGAUGGGAGGCGAGGAGAAGCGGCACCAGAUGAUGCAGAACCUCUUCGGCGACCAAUCCGAGGAGGAAGAAGAGCUCGAUUCCGAGCACGAAUCCAAUCCGCAACUCAAUUACCCUUCCGACGAGGGCGAAGGAGGCGGCGGCGCCGAGCAGGAGGGCGAGGGCGAAGUGGAGGGUCAGGGCGAGGUCGAGAUAGAGAGCGACGGCGACGGCGAGCCCGACCCCGGCGAGAGCGAGGGCGAGAGGGAGCAAAGCUCGCAGGAGGUGGAAGCCGGGGAGAGAGAAGAGAGCGAGGGGAGAGACUCCGAUAGCGACGUCAAAGACGACGGCGACGGUUACAGCCAGCGCGGCGUCACCAGCAAGCGCAGGGACGACGUCGUCGAGACUGGAUCUGAGAGGUCCGAGGAGAACCAUUACGCUCCACACGACGACGAGGAAGAGGAGGUUGACGAAGCCAGAAGCCCUAGUGGGUCACCCAGAGAUGAAAAAGAUGAGACUCGUGACCAGCAUUCAGCCCCUGAAAUUCGUGAUGUAUUUGGUGAUUUUGAUGAUGAUGAAGAGGAGGAAAUGGGGUUUGCAGUUCAGCAGGAUAUGGAACAAGAUUCAAAUAGAUAUCCUGUGGAGGAGGAAGGAAGUUAUGGAAAGAACCUGAGACCAGAAGAUAUACUUGCUGAUGAAGAUCAUCAGUAUGAAUCUGAAGAGGAAAACAUUGAGAUAAAAACUAAAGAGAAGCCACUUGGCCCCCCUUUAGAGUUGGAGGUUCCAUUACGACCACCUCCCGCUCUACCAGAAAAGAUGAACAUGAUUAAAGUUUCCAAUAUUAUGGGUGUUGAUCCAAAACCAUUUGACCCUAAAACAUAUGUGGAAGAGGAUACUUUUGUAACUGAUGAAUCUGGAGCUAGAAAGCGCAUACGUUUGGAGAACAAUAUUGUACGCUGGAGGACUACUAGAAAUCCUGAUGGCACAACAUCUUGUGAAAGCAAUGCUCGCUUUGUGAGGUGGUCUGAUGGCAGCCUGCAGCUAUUAAUUGGGAAUGAAGUUCUAGACAUAUCAGUGCAAGAUGCACAGCAUGAUCAAGCACAUCUUUUUCUUAGACAUGGAAAGGGAAUACUCCAAUCACAAGGAAGGUUAUUAAGAAAAAUGAGGUUUAUGCCAUCUUCCUUGUCAUCAAAUUCUCAUCGUCUGUUGACUGCUCUUGUUGACUCAAGGCAUAAGAAGGUUUAUAAGGUUAAAAACUGCAUUACUGACAUUGAUCCUGAGAGGGAAAAAGAGGAAAAGGAGAAGGCUGAAAGUCAAACAAUCCGGGCUAAUGUGCUGCUCAACCGAAAGCGUGAGAAGGUGAGCCGGAAAUAUACUCCAGCGGUGGAUAGGAGGCGCCAACUUUCACCUGGGUUUUUAGAGGAUGCUUUGGAUGAGGAGGAUGAAACAGAUUAUUAUGAUUCUCGUCGUUCUCAGCGUCGCUUUGAGGAUGAUUUGGAAGCGGAAGCCCGAGCAGAGAAACGAAUUAUGAAUGUUAAAAAGUCACAGGGACCCAAAGAUAUCCCCCGAAAAUCUUCCUUCCCACCUGCUAAAUCCUCUCGGAAUCCAAUGGGUUACCAAGAUGAUGAGAGAGAAGAGUCUGAGUAUGAAACUGAUGAUGAGGAAGAUGAGAGGCCUCCUUCACGUAAGAGGGAUGAGGAUACUGAGCCAGAGUAUGAGGAUGAGGAAGAAGAAGAAGAACACUAUGAAGAAGCAGAACAAGUUAAUGAUGCAUCAGAUGAGGAGGAAGAGGAGGAACCCAAGCAAAAGAGUAAGGAGUUUAGAAGCAGCACCAAAAGGAAGGGAUUUGAAUCUGAUGAGGACUCUCCUCCUAGGAAAACAACCACCCAUAGGCGAAUGGCGGUUGUGUAUGACAGUGAUGAGGAAUGAACUUCCGUAAGCCAGAUUUUCAUGGAAUCUUGUUGGCCAUGAGAUGAUGAGCCAUGUUUCUUGGCAGAAGAGAAAAAAAGUAUAUUGCAAUCGGAAGGAUUUUUGCGUAGACUGCAGCUUUCGGAUGCAGCGAAGGCUGUGAUGGGUCAUUUUUUUUUUCUCCCUUUAUAUAGCUAACAAUUAUAAUACUUGAUCCUUAUAUACAUAAAGAGGCAAGAGCCUGACACUGAUUUAAUAUUCGUUCUCAGGUUACAAUAUACAUAUAUGUUGUCGAUUGCUAAUGGUGAUCAGUGUAAAUAAGUUUGUUUUCUGUAUUUUCCGUUUGCAAAUAAAACUUUAGUCUAAGGGCAGGUUAAGUAACGGUGGAAACAGUGCCGGACCUCCCCUUUCCGUA
Cajanus cajan (pigeon pea) is the source of this 2489-nucleotide non-coding RNA. The record is from RefSeq and is a predicted model, not a curated record. Lineage: Eukaryota; Viridiplantae; Streptophyta; Magnoliopsida; Fabales; Fabaceae.